GGGGUAGGCCUGAAGCAUGAGGCCUGAACUCACACAAAAAGCCAGUCUUGCUCUGCAGAGGUCAGACCUGACUGUGCUCCUGAGAGGGGUUUCGGGGGUUGUGUGCAGUGGGGACAUUUUUGGAGCCCACGCCAUUUCCAUCUGGUGGUGCUUUACAUGCUUUCCAUUCUCUUUCCAGACCCAGUGAGGUAACUGCUAUUUCAUAAAUUCAGAUGCUGUCUCCCUUGCUGACCAUUUCUUGCUUUUAUCUCUUUGGGCAUCAACUUGGCCCUCUGGUCUCUCCCUCUAGGUGCCUCCUUCUUUUGAAGCCAUUAUCUGCACGGCCUGAAAAACACAUGCAGGAAGCACCACCAGGGCGUGCAGGUGAGUAGGGCAGGCAAGGAGCUGCUUGGCUCCCAAGGUGGAGCUUCCCCACACAGUAUGAGGAUGAGAGCAGGCCCCAGUCCUCUGUGGACCACCAUUCCUGGCCAGUGCGUCCUGGGGACCACACAAUGCCGCAAAGGCCACGAGUGCUCCACGCCAAGCACCUGGACUCCUACGGUGCCCUGGGUGUUUCUCAUCCUUGGGGCAGCUGUGUUCUUCCCAUGCCUGAUGCCAAGAGGCCUUGGGGUACCCACUUCACUCCACAUGCAACCUGUGAGCCUCACUUGUGGUCGGGAGAAGAGACAGGU
RNAcentral lists this long non-coding RNA (671 nucleotides) under Homo sapiens (human). Its description in RNAcentral is "HSALNT0265947". The record is from RNAcentral. Lineage: Eukaryota; Metazoa; Chordata; Mammalia; Primates; Hominidae.